UAGGGAAUCUUCGGCAAUGGACGGAANUCUGGACCGAGCAACCNCACGUGAGUGAAGAAGGUUUUCGGAUCGUAAAGCUCUGUUGUAAGAGAAGAACGAGUGUGAGAGUGGAAAGUUCACACUGUGACGGUAUCUUACCAGAAAGGGACGGCUAACUACGUGCCAGCAGCCGCGGUAAUACGUAGGUCCCGAGCGUUGUCCGGAUUUAUUGGGCGUAAAGCGAGCGCAGGCGGUUAGAUAAGUCUGAAGUUAAAGGCUGUGGCUUAACCAUAGUACGCUUUGGAAACUGUUUAACUUGAGUGCAAGAGGGGAGAGUGGAAUUCCAUGUGUAGCGGUGAAAUGCGUAGAUAUAUGGAGGAACACCGGUGGCGAAAGCGGCUCUCUGGCUUGUAACUGACGCUGAGGCUCGAAAGCGUGGGGAGCAAACAGGAUUAGAUACCCUGGUAGUCCACGCCGUAAACGAUGAGUGCUAGGUGUUAGACCCUUUCCGGGGUUUAGUGCCGCAGCUAACGCAUUAAGCGCUCCGCCUGGGGAGUACGACCGCAAGUUG
Molecule: ribosomal RNA, 550 nt
Filed under: uncultured bacterium
Lineage: Bacteria
Description: bacterial SSU rRNA
Rfam family: Bacterial small subunit ribosomal RNA
Source: RNAcentral